GGGGAUUUAGCUCAGUGGUAGAGCGCUUGCUUAGCAAGUGCAAGGCCCUGGGUUCGGUUCCCAGCUCCG
RNAcentral lists this transfer RNA (69 nucleotides) under Rattus norvegicus (Norway rat). It matches the Rfam family "tRNA". Rfam says of the family: Transfer RNA (tRNA) molecules are approximately 80 nucleotides in length. The record is from Rfam by way of RNAcentral. Lineage: Eukaryota; Metazoa; Chordata; Mammalia; Rodentia; Muridae.